This 468-nucleotide ribosomal RNA is filed under the name uncultured bacterium. RNAcentral's name for it is "partial 16S ribosomal RNA". It matches the Rfam family "Bacterial small subunit ribosomal RNA", at positions 28 to 507 of the family's 1533-position model. The record is from RNAcentral.
GACGAACGCUGGCGGCGUGCUUAACACAUGCAAGUCGAACGGAAAGGCCCUGCUUUUGUGGGGUGCUCGAGUGGCGAACGGGUGAGUAACACGUGAGUAACCUGCCCUUGACUUUGGGAUAACUUCAGGAAACUGGGGCUAAUACCGGAUAGGAGCUCCUGCUGCAUGGUGGGGGUUGGAAAGUUUCGGCGGUUGGGGAUGGACUCGCGGCUUAUCAGCUUGUUGGUGGGGUAGUGGCUUACCAAGGCUUUGACGGGUAGCCGGCCUGAGAGGGUGACCGGCCACAUUGGGACUGAGAUACGGCCCAGACUGCUACGGGAGGCAGCAGUGGGGAAUAUUGCACAAUGGGCGGAAGCCUGAUGCAGCAACGCCGCGUGCGGGAUGACGGCCUCCGGGUUGUAAACCGCUUUCGCCUGUGACGAAGCGUGAGUGACGGUAAUGGGUAAAGAAGCACCGGCUAACUACGUG